This 253-nucleotide ribosomal RNA is filed under the name uncultured bacterium. RNAcentral describes it as "partial 16S ribosomal RNA". It matches the Rfam family "Bacterial small subunit ribosomal RNA", at positions 524 to 776 of the family's 1533-position model. The record is from RNAcentral.
UACGUAGGGGGCAAGCGUUGUCCGGAAUCAUUGGGCGUAAAGCGCGUGUAGGCGGCCCGAUAAGUCCGCUGUGAAAGUCCAGGGCUCAACCCUGGAAAGCCGGUGGAUACUGUCGGGCUAGAGUCCGGAAGAGGCGAGUGGAAUUCCUGGUGUAGCGGUGGAAUGCGCAGAUAUCAGGAGGAACACCGAUGGCGAAGGCAGCUCGCUGGGACGGUACUGACGCUGAGGCGCGAAAGCGUGGGGAGCGAACAGG